This 260-nucleotide ribosomal RNA is filed under the name uncultured bacterium. RNAcentral describes it as "partial 16S ribosomal RNA". It matches the Rfam family "Bacterial small subunit ribosomal RNA", at positions 524 to 776 of the family's 1533-position model. The record is from RNAcentral.
UACGGGGGGAGCAAGCGUUGUUCGGAUUUACUGGCGUAAAGGGCGCGUAGGCGGUCGUGACAAGUCACUUGUGAAAUCUCCGGGCUUAACUCGGAACGGUCAAGUGAUACUGUCGUGCUAGAGUACAGAAGGGGCAACUGGAAUUCUCGGUGUAGCGGUGAAAAUGCGUAGAUAUCGAGAGGAACACCUGCGGCGAAAGGCGGGGGGUUGCUGGGCUGAUACUGACGCUGAGGCGCGAAAGCUAGGGGGGAGCGAACGGG